Molecule: long non-coding RNA, 446 nt
Organism: Homo sapiens (human)
Lineage: Eukaryota; Metazoa; Chordata; Mammalia; Primates; Hominidae
Source: Ensembl
GUUAAGUUCCUUGGAAACAGAUUCUGGGACAGUUAUUUGUGAACAGAAAGUUUACUGGAAGGAAGCAAAAUUAAGCAGAGGAAGAAACUAAACUGUGAUAUAGUCACAACUAUGGUCUCAGCUAUGAAGCUGUGAUUGCCUUUCAGAUUUGUCCUGAAUUAAGGAAAAGCACUUCAGGUCAUUCUGCUAGAGAUGCUUGGGAACAAUACCUUGAAAAACAUGAAUCCAGUGGACCCAUUUGAGGAGGCCCGCUGUCAACUCUAAAGCCAUUGUACCACUCCAUAGCUUGGACUGCCGAGCAACUAACCAUGAAGUAUGAAGAGAAUCUCAAAGCAGGUUUUCUUGAAAAAUGAAAUGUGAACGAAAACUUAUCUAUUCCAUUUAGUCACUUCUUAUUGAUAGAGAAGUUUCCAUCUGAAUAUCUGAAUUAAACAUUCAUUAACAGA